GAUGAACGCUGGCGGCGUGCUUAACACAUGCAAGUCGAACGGAAAGGCCCAAGCUUGCUUGGGUACUCGAGUGGCGAACGGGUGAGUAACACGUGGGUGAUCUGCCCUGCACUUCGGGAUAAGCCUGGGAAACUGGGUCUAAUACCGGAUAGGACCUCUUCUUGGAUGUUGUGGUGGAAAGUUUUUCGGUGUGGGAUGAGCUCGCGGCCUAUCAGCUUGUUGGUGGGGUAAUGGCCUACCAAGGCGUCGACGGGUGGCCGGCCUGAGAGGGUGUACGGCCACAUUGAGACUGCGAUACGGCGCAGAAGCAGACGGGAGGCAGCAGUGGGGAAUAGUGCAAAAUGGGAGCAAGGCUGAUGCAGCGACGGCGCGUGGGGGGUGACGGCCUUCGGGUAGUAAACUCCAUUCGCUAGGGACGAAGCUUAUUUUGUGACGGUACCUGGAGAAGAAGCACCGGCUAACUACGUG
This 468-nucleotide ribosomal RNA is filed under the name uncultured bacterium. RNAcentral's name for it is "partial 16S ribosomal RNA". It matches the Rfam family "Bacterial small subunit ribosomal RNA", at positions 28 to 507 of the family's 1533-position model. The record is from RNAcentral.